UUUUAGCAUCUUUUGGUUAUUUUUUCCAUGAGCGAUCAACUGAUUGUCUCAUUUUCUUACCCAUGCAAGUCUUUUUGUUCUGCAACGUCUGCCACUCUUUCUCAUUUGCAACACUAGGGUUACAAGAGUGCAAAAAUAUGGUUCGGUGGUUUCAUUUAUGGAUUUAAAAAUUUUAAUGUUGAAAAAAAAUCUAAUUUUAGUGAAGGUUAUGGAGAUUUCUUGUUUCAGUGUGACAUUGAUUAUGAAUAAGGGUUUCCAAGGUGCACAACAAGAACAACAGUGGGUUCCACCACUGCCAUUAGACCACUAUCGUCAAGUAUUGAAUCACCAGCACCUUUUGUUUCCUCCUCCACAAUGACCUAUGCUGCCCCAUCAGGUUAUUCACAUGUAUGCUCAACCAGAUCAGAAUUUAAGGAUGACCUCAAGCUCUAUGUACACCCUAAUUUGAAAUAUAUUGGAAUUGAGUUACGACAGGUCAAAUCAGGAACCUUUUUUGAUAAUAUUUUAGUGUCUGAUGACCUUGAAUCUGCAAAGAAGUUAGCAGAGGAGAUAUAGGGCAAAAACAUAGAUGUGCGCCGAUCUUGUUGUUUUGAAAACCUAUCUUGUAGAUGUUUUAGUUGAUUGUAGAGCUGGUCAUUGUAGAUAUUUUAGCUGAGUGUAGAGUUGGUCAUUGGUCAUUGAAAUCCUCUUUUGCAAAUAUUUUAGAUAGUGAUGUGAUGUCCUUAAACAUCGAUUCUUUGUCAUCAAAUAGUUGAUUUUGUAUUUUGUAGAAAUGUAUAUUUAUAGGCUAACAUAGGAUACAUGGUAUAAUUAUUCUUUAAAGGGUGCU
Molecule: long non-coding RNA, 829 nt
Organism: Cryptomeria japonica (Japanese cedar)
Lineage: Eukaryota; Viridiplantae; Streptophyta; Pinopsida; Cupressales; Cupressaceae
Exons: 3
Source: RefSeq, a predicted model, not a curated record